CAUCGUGUGGUGGACAUUCAUGCUAAAGAGUGAGGAUAAGACUUGGCAGCUCUUUGAAACACUUAGUGAGAACUCCCUACAUCACAUGUCUGCCACCUCUAGAGAACAACCCAUGUCUCAAUAGAAAAGAUGUGGAAUCUAUCAGAUUGGAAAUGUUAUGGAUAUCCACAGUAAGGUAGAUGAAUUGUCUAAAAAAUUAGACCGUCUUCUGAAUACCGGACACUCUUCGAUUCUACCUAAUCCAGUGCA
Molecule: long non-coding RNA, 249 nt
Filed under: Elaeis guineensis (African oil palm)
Lineage: Eukaryota; Viridiplantae; Streptophyta; Magnoliopsida; Arecales; Arecaceae
Description: long non-coding RNA (EGUI_LNC076264)
Source: RNAcentral